UGGGGGAUAUUGCACAAUGGGCGAAAGCCUGAUGCAGCGACGCCGCGUGGGGGAUGAAGGCCUUCGGGUUGUAAACUUCUUUUGCUCUGAACAAGGCAUGCUAAUGGGUGUGUUGAGUGUAGGGGUUGAUUAGCGCCGGCUAACUACGUGCCAGCAGCCGCGGUAAUACGUAGGGCGCGAGCGUUGUCCGGAAUUAUUGGGCGUAAAGGGCUUGUAGGUGGCUGGUUGCGUCUGUCGUGAAAGCUCAUGGCUUAACUGUGGGUUUGCGGUGGGUACUGGCUGGAUUGAGUGCAGUAGGGGAGGCUGGAAAUCCUAGUGUAGCGGUGGAAUGCGCAGAUAUCAGGAGGAAUACCGGUGGCGAAGGCGGGUCUCUGGGCUGUUACUGACACUGAGGAGCGAAAGCAUGGGGAGCGAACAGG
This 419-nucleotide ribosomal RNA is filed under the name bacterium. RNAcentral's name for it is "partial 16S ribosomal RNA". It matches the Rfam family "Bacterial small subunit ribosomal RNA", at positions 355 to 776 of the family's 1533-position model. The record is from RNAcentral.